AAUCCCUGUGAUGAGUGAUUUCUAUAUUUAACGUUAAAAGUAGACUGACCUUUAAUGAAGAUAAAUAUCAAUUCUGAGGGAUG
Molecule: small nucleolar RNA, 83 nt
Organism: Lycium barbarum (goji berry)
Lineage: Eukaryota; Viridiplantae; Streptophyta; Magnoliopsida; Solanales; Solanaceae
Product: small nucleolar RNA R21
Exons: 1
Source: RefSeq, a predicted model, not a curated record